CACGGAGUUAGCCGAUGUUUAUUCGCAGAGUACCGUCAUCAAACUACGCGUAGUCCUUAUUCUUCCCCUGCAAAAGCAGUUUACAACCCAUAAGGCCGUCUUCCUGCACGCGGCAUGGCUGGAUCAGUCUUCCGACCAUUGUCCAAUAUUCCUCACUGCUGCCUCCCGUAGGAGUCUGGUCCGUAUCUCAGUACCAGUGUGGGGGAUAUCCCUCUCAGAACCCCCUAUCUAUCGUCGCCUUGGGGAGCCGUUACCUCUCCAACUAGCUAAUAGAACGCAUACUCAUCUUUCACCGCCUCAGCUUUAAUAUAAAAACUGAUGCCACCCCUAUAUACCAUUAGGUAUUAAUCCAAAUUUCUUCGGGCUAUCCCUAUGUGAAAGGCAGAUUGUAUACGCGUUACGCACCCGUACGCCGGUCGAAGUCCGAAAGCUCCUCCUCGACUUGCAUGUGUUAGGCCUGCCGCUAGCGUUCAUCCUGAGCCAGGAUCAAACUC
RNAcentral lists this ribosomal RNA (494 nucleotides) under uncultured Capnocytophaga sp. RNAcentral describes it as "partial 16S ribosomal RNA". Lineage: Bacteria; Pseudomonadati; Bacteroidota; Flavobacteriia; Flavobacteriales; Flavobacteriaceae. The record is from RNAcentral.